RNAcentral lists this ribosomal RNA (253 nucleotides) under uncultured bacterium. RNAcentral's name for it is "partial 16S ribosomal RNA". It matches the Rfam family "Bacterial small subunit ribosomal RNA", at positions 524 to 776 of the family's 1533-position model. The record is from RNAcentral.
UACAGGGGGUGCAAGCGGUACUCGGAUUUACUGGGCGUAAAGAGCGUGUAGGCGGUUCGUUAAGUCUGAUGUGAAAGCCCCGGGCCUAAUCCGGGAAGUGCAUCGGAUACUGGCAAACUAGAGUGCAGGAGGGGUGAGCGGAAUUCCAGGUGUAGAGGUGAAAUUCGUAGAUAUCUGGAGGAACAACAGCGGCGAAGGCGGCUCACUGGACUGUAACUGACGCUAAGGCGCGAAAGCGUGGGGAGCAAACAGG